Molecule: ribosomal RNA, 468 nt
Filed under: uncultured bacterium
Lineage: Bacteria
Description: partial 16S ribosomal RNA
Rfam family: Bacterial small subunit ribosomal RNA
Source: RNAcentral
GACGAACGCUGGCGGCGUGCUUAACACAUGCAAGUCGAACGGAAAGGCCCUGCUUUUGUGGGGUGCUCGAGUGGCGAACGGGUGAGUAACACGUGAGUAACCUGCCCUUGACUUUGGGAUAAAUUCAGGAAAAUGGGGCUAAUACCGGAUAGGAGCUCCUGCUGCAUGGUGGGGGUUGGUAAGUUUCGGCGGUUGGGGAUGGACUCGCGGCUUAUCAGCUGGUUGGGGGGGUAGUGGAUUACCAAGGCUUUGACGGGUAGCCGGCCUGAGAGGGUGACCGGCCACAUUAGGACUAAGAUACGGCCCAGACUCCUACGGGAGGCAGCAGUGGGGAAUAUUGCACAAUGGGCGGAAGCCUGAUGCAGCAACGCCGCGUGCGGGAUGACGGCCUUCGGGUUGUAAACCGCUUUCGCCUGUGACGAAGCGUGAGUGACGGUAAUGGGUAAAGAAGCACCGGCUAACUACGUG